RNAcentral lists this long non-coding RNA (635 nucleotides) under Homo sapiens (human). RNAcentral describes it as "HSALNT0177859". Lineage: Eukaryota; Metazoa; Chordata; Mammalia; Primates; Hominidae. The record is from RNAcentral.
CCGGGGGAUGCAAGGAACUUUCCCUCUCUGUCCCUCUCUGUAGGGAUGGAAAGAGGAGAGCGAUUUCUGGGAUGGAAGCCAUCUGCCUCCUCUCAACUCUCGCUGCCCAACCAGAAAGGGAAGAAAAACAGGAAGAUGCGGGAUAGGUGAGGAGCUGGGUGAGCGCCGCCAGCCCGCAGCCCAGCAGAGCAGGGCUUGGCCAAGCCUGGCUCCAGCCGCAGAGUCCAGUGGGUCUCUAGUCCAGGGACGUCGUGGGAGAAUCAGGAAGUCUAAGCCACACAGCCGAGAAGGGGCAGCUGGCGUCUCGGAGGCCGUCACGAGCUGUCACUCCGCGCCCGCCGGAGUUGCCGCUCAGUUACCAACUUCAACCCGGGGCCGGCCACGGAGCCUCCCGCCGUCCCUACCCCGCGUCCCCGGCACCCCCGCGCCCCCGGCACCCCCGGACCCCCGCGCCCGCGUCACUUACUCCUCUGCCGUCGCCACCUGUCUGGGUGCAGGUCUCCUCCCUGCCUGGCCGCGGAGCGUCCUCCCCGUCCUCGCAGUCCUCGGGCUGUGCGCUUCCCCGCUCCAGCAACCAGCCGCAGCCUCUUCUCCUCGGGAGGGACGUCGUCCUCCUCCCUCCUGGGCCGGCCAUC